RNAcentral lists this ribosomal RNA (527 nucleotides) under uncultured Caryophanales bacterium. RNAcentral's name for it is "bacterial SSU rRNA". It matches the Rfam family "Bacterial small subunit ribosomal RNA", at positions 1 to 507 of the family's 1533-position model. The record is from RNAcentral. Lineage: Bacteria; Bacillati; Bacillota; Bacilli; Caryophanales.
UAGUAGGUUGACGUCCGUGGCUCGAGGACGAACGCUGGCGGCGUGCCUAAUACAUGCAAGUCGAGCGGGGGCUUUUGGGAGCUUGCUUCUGGGAGCCCUAGCGGCGGACGGGUGAGUAACACGUAGGCAACCUGCCCGCAAGACCGGGAUAACGUAGGGAAACUUACGCUAAUACCGGAUAGGGUUUCGCCCCGCAUGGGGCGGAACGGAAAGGCGGCGGAAGCUGUCACUUGCGGAUGGGCCUGCGGCGCAUUAGCUAGUUGGUGAGGUAACGGCUCACCAAGGCGACGAUGCGUAGCCGACCUGAGAGGGUGACCGGCCACACUGGGACUGAGACACGGCCCAGACUCCUACGGGAGGCAGCAGUAGGGAAUCUUCCACAAUGGGCGAAAGCCUGAUGGAGCAACGCCGCGUGAACGAGGAAGGCCUUCGGGUUGUAAAGUUCUGUUGUCAGGGACGAACCAGUGCCGUUCGAACAGGGCGGUACCUUGACGGUACCUGACGAGGAAGCCACGGCUAACUACGUG